This 544-nucleotide ribosomal RNA is filed under the name uncultured bacterium. Its description in RNAcentral is "bacterial SSU rRNA". It matches the Rfam family "Bacterial small subunit ribosomal RNA", at positions 777 to 1319 of the family's 1533-position model. The record is from RNAcentral.
AAUAGAUACCCCGGUAGUCCAUGCCGUAAACGUUGGGAACUAGGUGUGGGUCUCAUUUCCACGAGAUCCGUGCCGCAGCUAACGCAUUAAGUUCCCCCGCCUGGGGAGUACGGCCGCAAGGCUAAAACUCAAAGGAAUUGACGGGGGCCCGCACAAGCGGCGGAGCAUGCGGAUUAAUUCGAUGCAACGCGAAGAACCUUACCAAGGCUUGACAUACACCGGAAACAUCCAGAGAUGGGUGCCCCGCAAGGUCGGUGUACAGGUGGUGCAUGGUUGUCGUCAGCUCGUGUCGUGAGAUGUUGGGUUAAGUCCCGCAACGAGCGCAACCCUCGUUCUAUGUUGCCAGCACGUGAUGGUGGGGACUCAUAGGAGACUGCCGGGGUCAACUCGGAGGAAGGUGGGGAUGACGUCAAAUCAUCAUGCCCCUUAUGUCUUGGGCUUCACGCGUGCUACAAUGGCCGGUACAAAGGGCUGCGAAACCGUGAGGUGGAGCGAAUCCCAAAAAACCGGUCUCAGUUCGGAUUGGGGUCUGCAACUCGACCCC